GGAUUUGGAUUCAGUUUGUUGGCUCUUCUCUACUCCAUUACUGAGGCAACACAACAGUGGUUCACAGUUAGGUGGUUCCCACUGGCUACCCUCACCUAGCCAGUGGAUCUCAAACCAUCUCCCUAACUCACCAAGGAUUUAAGACCCACUAGCUACCCUCACCUGGUUUAGCCGGCCAGUUGAAGCUGUUCCUGGGGUAUAGUCGCUAUUGCAAACUGACAGCUUCUAGGAGCCACAAGUGAGAGCUAAGUGCAAACUGGGGGCCAAAGGUAGACAAACUAUUUCAGUAGGAGCACGAUGCAUCCCCCAGCAGAGGUACCACCCCAUCCCUAACAACCCAUACACAUCAAACCGUACAAUGAAAACCAUAAAAAGUUUUUUAAAAAACAGGCAUCAAUUAACCAUUGUGUAACAAUAUAUUGUUAAUUGGCUGCAUAGACCUGGCAGAAUAUUAAAGAUUUCAGCAGGUGUUUAAAAAUUGGCAUGGAAGGUAGUGUUGCAGGGGACCGGGCCAAUGGCACUAAUGACUCGGUUUCAUGUUACCAGUUAAGCCUCAACAACCUGGGGGAUGACCAACGACACUCUCAGUGAUCAAGCUGGGAUAUAAGGUUUGAGGCAAUUACUGAGCCUAUGUUGUUCAGGGCUUUGUAAAUUAAUACAAGAACCUUGAACCUGGCUGGGUAGUAACUGGGCAACCCAUGCAGCUGUUUCAGCAAUUGUGUCAAUGCCAGCAGUCUGGCCACCACAUUCUGCACCAGCUGGAGCUUCUGAACCAGGCUCAAGGACUUACAAGGACGUAAUUAAACAGAAAAAUGACCAAUAGUAUUAAGUAACACUAAUAUAACAGCAGUAAAUGAAACCAUUAUUAAAUGCAGUGCCAUAUGAUAACUCAAAAUCACUUCAAAAAGCCAAGAAACAAUUACAGUGGUACCUCUGGUUACGUACUUAAUUCGUUCCGGAGGUCCAUUCUUAACCUGAAACUGAAGCACCACUUUAGCUAAUGGGGCCUCCAGCUGCUGCUGCGCCGCCACUGCGCGAUUUCUGUUCUCACCCUGAAGCAAAGUUCUUAACCCGAAGUACUAUUUCUGGGUUAGCGGAUUCUGUAACCUGAAGCGUAUGUAACCUGAAGCGUUUGUAACCCAAGGUACCACUGUACGUUAAGCCAUAGAAGGUCCUACUGCUAUCCCUGGCAUUAAUUAUCCUAAUAGUUCUGUUUGCCCAUUUUAAGGCUAUUGUCAUGGCUCUGCAUUUCCUUUAUUUGGAACAUAUUGAGUUCCACAAUCACAUUACUAUCUGGCUUAUGCCACUGUGAUCCUUCCUCUGCACACAGGAAAGUAGUAUGUUAGGAAGGGUUCCUGACAUGCUAGUUUACUGGGCUUCUUCUAGAUGUGCAAGCUAUUCUUGGGUUGUUGUUUUUUAAUAUGUAAGAACACAUGAUUCUGCAGUUCUUGGGAAUCUUUGGUACAUAAGGAUAGCUUCUGAUUUAACAUUUUCCCCUCCACUGUAGAAUAAAGCUAGAGGAAUUCACAUAAAAACAGUAAACAUAAAGUUCAGUUUGGUUUUGAUGCUUGGGUAAACUUGAUAGCCCUGGCCUUGUUGUACAAAAAGCACUAUACAAAUUGUGAAGGACAACAUUGCAUUUCAAGCAAUGGCUUGUUGAAAAUGCACAAGAUGUGAUACAGGCUCUAGAAAAAUGAUUCCUUUUCAAUUUCACUAUCACAUGCACCAAAAACCAUACAAAUGCCUGGUACAAUUAAUAAAGUUUUGGCUUCUGAACACUACUGCUCUUUGUUUUUCAAAACUAAGCAUAGCAACUAUUGUCUUCCCUGGUAACCUUUUGCAUCUAUUCAGCUUGCCUUAUACUUAGUGCCAUGUAAAAUGUUAUUGCUAGUCAUAUGGUCAUCAGAUGUGCUGAUGUUUCUGAGGGCGCUGGGAUGAAUAAAUGAUAGGAGUCUUCGUAGAUUAUCUUCACAGGGGCAGCAGCUGUCUGCUCAGAAACAGAUGGUUGGAAUGAUCUGAACAAGCCUGAUCUUGCCUUCUCAAAGUAAAGCAGAUUUGAGGUUGUGUGUGCUUUUUCAUGCUGUUGAUACCAAAAGUCACUCAUCCUGCAUUAAUCUGCAGGCUUGUUUAUGUGAAUAUGCAUACAUUUGGAAACUGUAAAUGCAAAGAUCAGCUGUUACAGCUUCAUUCCAGAAAUGUAAUAUGAAAGAGAAUAACAUAGCCCAACACAUACAUAUAAGUUCUUCAAUUUGAUUAAAAAAUGUUAUUUUCCUAAAGUGACAUAGAAUUAAAAAUCGUGCCCCCUCUCUUGGGGGCCCCCAAAAAAAUGAAAGGGAAAAAAUCCUGGAUGUACAUUUCC
RNAcentral lists this long non-coding RNA (2359 nucleotides) under Podarcis lilfordi (Lilford's wall lizard). The record is from RNAcentral. Lineage: Eukaryota; Metazoa; Chordata; Lepidosauria; Squamata; Lacertidae.